UACGUAGGGUGCAAGCGUUAAUCGGAAUUACUGGGCGUAAAGCGUGCGCAGGCGGUUCUGUAAGCCUGUCGUGAAAUCCCCGGGCUUAACCUGGGAAUGGCGAUGGUGACUGCAAGGCUAGAGUUUGGCAGAGGGGGGUAGAAUUCCACGUGUAGCAGUGAAAUGCGUAGAUAUGUGGAGGAACACCGAUGGCGAAGGCAGCCCCCUGGGUCAAAACUGACGCUCAUGCACGAAAGCGUGGGGAGCAAACAGG
This 253-nucleotide ribosomal RNA is filed under the name uncultured bacterium. RNAcentral's name for it is "partial 16S ribosomal RNA". It matches the Rfam family "Bacterial small subunit ribosomal RNA", at positions 524 to 776 of the family's 1533-position model. The record is from RNAcentral.